RNAcentral lists this small nuclear RNA (176 nucleotides) under Suricata suricatta (meerkat). Its description in RNAcentral is "U2 spliceosomal RNA (ENSSSUG00005018133.1)". The stretch from base 1 to 156 matches the Rfam family "U2 spliceosomal RNA". From Rfam's summary of the family: U2 is a small nuclear RNA (snRNA) component of the spliceosome (involved in pre-mRNA splicing). Complementary binding between U2 snRNA (in an area lying towards the 5' end but 3' to hairpin I) and the branchpoint sequence (BPS) of the intron results the bulging out of an unpaired adenosine, on the BPS, which initiates a nucleophilic attack at the intronic 5' splice site, thus starting the first of two transesterification reactions that mediate splicing. The record is from RNAcentral. Lineage: Eukaryota; Metazoa; Chordata; Mammalia; Carnivora; Herpestidae.
AUCGCUUCUCGGCCUUUUGGCUAAAAUCAAGUGUAGUAUCUGUUCUUAUCAGUUUAAACCCAUGGAAAAUACAACACCAAGGGUGAGCCCUAAAAUAAACUAUAGGCUUUGUAUGAUGUGACCGUUGUAGGUUCAUCAAUAACAAACGCACCACUUUGGUGAGGGAUGCUGCUAAU